ACUACGGGGGGCAGCAGUGGGGAAUAUUGAGCAAUGGGCGCAAGCCUGACCCAGCAACGCCGCGUGAAGGAAGAAGGCUUUCGGGUUGUAAACUUCUUUUCUCAGGGACGAAGCAAGUGACGGUACCUGAGGAAUAAGCCACGGCUAACUACGUGCCAGCAGCCGCGGUAAUACGUAGGUGGCAAGCGUUAUCCGGAUUUACUGGGUGUAAAGGGCGUGUAGGCGGGAAAGCAAGUCAGAUGUGAAAACCAUGGGCUCAACCUGUGGCCUGCAUUUGAAACUGUUUUUCUUGAGUACUGGAGAGGCAGACGGAAUUCCUAGUGUAGCGGUGAAAUGCGUAGAUAUUAGGAGGAACACCAGUGGCGAAGGCGGUCUGCUGGACAGCAACUGACGCUGAGGCGCGAAAGCGUGGGGAGCAAACAGGAUUAGAUACCCGUGUAGUC
Molecule: ribosomal RNA, 443 nt
Filed under: uncultured bacterium
Lineage: Bacteria
Description: partial 16S ribosomal RNA
Rfam family: Bacterial small subunit ribosomal RNA
Source: RNAcentral